GUCUAUGGCCAUACCACCCUGAACGUGCCUGAUCUUUUCUGAUCUCGGAAGCUAAGCAGGAUCAGAGACCACCUGGGAAUACUGGGUACUGUAGGCU
Molecule: ribosomal RNA, 97 nt
Filed under: Callithrix jacchus (white-tufted-ear marmoset)
Lineage: Eukaryota; Metazoa; Chordata; Mammalia; Primates; Cebidae
Source: RNAcentral